This is a long non-coding RNA of Raphanus sativus (radish), 1429 nucleotides long. RefSeq lists it as uncharacterized. The transcript is spliced from 5 exons. The record is from RefSeq and is a predicted model, not a curated record. NCBI's taxonomy places the organism in Eukaryota, Viridiplantae, Streptophyta, Magnoliopsida, Brassicales, Brassicaceae.
UUAUCGAUCUUUUGAUUGCUUAACGACACAAGAUUUUUAACCCAGUUCCCUUGCGGUACCUCUGGGGUGGGAACCGUCUCCCACAACAUCCACUAUCAAUCAAAGGGUUUACACAAACGCUCUAAGCGCUCAAUAGAAAAGACACAACAAAGAAUAUGAGAGAUCAAAGAAACUCUAUCCCGGAGCGACAUGACUCGACAAUGUCUCCUAAGUUUCUUCUACCCGAUCUCUCUCCCGACUCCCUCUUUGUUCUAUUUCUUGUGUUUCGGAUCAUCUUUCGACUUGAGCUCCCAUUCCUUUAUAUAAUGCAGCCAGCACCGACUUGGCAAUUUCCUUUAGCUUACGUACUUUACUUUUCUUAGUUACGUACGAAUCCAUAUACUAACCGACGUCUUUGUGUGCAGGUAUCUUGAAGCUGGACUUUGAAGGAUAUUAAAGUAUGGGCCAAGAAGUUUGGGCCUAAGCCCAACAAUCUCCACCUUUAGACCCUAAACUUUCUACCUUCACUUCUCUGCGUAUCACUUCCUCUCGUUCAUACCGUCGCACCUCUGCAACAAUGAACUUUGUUUCACCGUUUCAGAUGACAGCUCCUACGGCUCGUGUUUUCCAAGUGAUGCGAACCGAUUCAACUUCUAAAGACUUCAUCUUGCUCUCCAGUAACACUUAACCAUCAUUGCGCAGCCGUUGAUGGUUCUCCACCGUUCAAGACCCACCAUCGAUACUGAAGAUCGCGAUUCUUCAUUAAUGGUGAAUCUUGUUUUGCCUGAAUCAAGUUGAUCAAUCUUACCGGAGUUCUGCAGUUUCCAUGACGACCUUUGGCAAUUUCUCUGUUUGAUGAUCUUUAUCACAAGCUUCCCUUUCUGCUGUUGAAUCUCGAUCAUCGUUGAUGCACCACUGUCUCUAACGAGACCCACCGGAGCCAUCAAUAGUGACGUUUCUUGCCGCAUUCCUCUCUGCAUCUCCCUGCGGUGUCCUUCUCGCCAUUACUCCACCUGGAGCUGCUUCACCACAGCUACUGCAACUUUCGACCACUUCUCUGCACCAUUAAGAGUACGUAAUACUUGACGUUGGCCUUAACCCUUUGAUUAUUCCCUUGAUAGUGAACAUAACUUGAUGCAACUUCAACAUGAAUCUUUGCAUCCUCUGGCAUAAGGCUUCGAGGCCAUUACCCAAUCUUCUCCGAUGAACAACCGCAUCUCCUCAGCUGUGCUGAUAACUCGAGCUGCUCCACCUGAAGCGAAUAUCACUUCACCAUAGCUUUGUACCUUUCGUAGGUAUCUUGAAGCUGGACUUUGAAGGAUAUUAAAGUAUGGGCCAAGAAGUUUGGGCCUAAGCCCAACAGACUAUGUUUGUAAUAAGACAUGCCUCUCUGAUUUUAUUCUUUCCCAGCCCUAAUAGUCAUCUUCGUCAUCUUCUUCAUUUCUUGAUC